CCUAGAAUCCGAGGUAUAUCCCACGCGAGAUUGGGGACGUUCCUCGUAUCCCAGUCUGGACUGGGGUCGAUGGAAGCUCGGAGGUACAUCCUGCGACACAGAGAAGGUUUUGCGAUAAGCUGCGUUCACCUGCUGCAUUAUUGAAGAAGCAUUAUGUCCGGCGUCGAAUAAUUGCUAUGAGAAAUUUAAAAAAUAGCGAUGGAAAUACUCGAGAAAAGUCGUGAAAUUUCGCACACUGUCAAUUUCCUUCAAAUCUUCGGUAGAGAUGGAUGACUCUGGAGAUAGUCCUUAAAUGCUUUUUAGGUAUUCUGAGAAAUCGUAUCAUCUUUGCAACCCAGCGAAGCUUCAGUAAAUUAUUUAAGUCACAUUGAUUGUUAAUUCAUUUGCCGUUUAAAGAUACUUUAUAUCUAUAUUGCACUAGACUUAAGUAUAUUGUAUAUUACAGCAAUUUGAGUUUCAAAAAGGUGUACAAUUAUUGU
This is a long non-coding RNA of Bombus terrestris (buff-tailed bumblebee), 479 nucleotides long. RefSeq lists it as uncharacterized. The transcript is spliced from 3 exons. NCBI's taxonomy places the organism in Eukaryota, Metazoa, Arthropoda, Insecta, Hymenoptera, Apidae. The record is from RefSeq and is a predicted model, not a curated record.